Molecule: ribosomal RNA, 573 nt
Filed under: uncultured organism
Description: bacterial SSU rRNA
Rfam family: Bacterial small subunit ribosomal RNA
Source: RNAcentral
UGUGUGUCGUAGUUAACGCGUUAUACAGGGCGCCUGGGAAGUACGGCCGCAAGGCUAAAACCCAAAGGAAUUGACGGGGACCCGCACAAGCAGUGGAGCGCCUGGUUUAAUUCGAUGGUCAGCGAAGAACCUCACCUAGGCUUGAACUGUAGCUGCACACUCCCAGAAACGGGAGAAUCCUUCGAGGGUGCUACAGAGGUGCUGCAUGGCUGUCGUCAGCUCGUGUCGUGAGAUGUAGGGUUAAGUCCCACAACGAGCGCAACCCCUAUUCAGUGUUAUAAUUACUCUGAAGACUGCCCUGUCCAAACGGGGAGGAAGGAGGGGACGACGUCCAGUCAUCAUGUCCCUUAUGUCUAGGGCUACACAGACGCUACAAUGGCCGGUACAAUGGGUUGCCAAACCGCGAGGUGGAGCCAAUCCCAUCAAAGCCGGUCCCAGUUCGGAUUGCAGUCUGCAACUCGACUGCAUGAAGUUGUAAUUGCUAGUAAUCGCGAAUCAGCACGUCGCGGUGAUACGUUCUCGGGUCUUGUACACACCGCCCGUCAGGGCACGGGAGUCGCUCUUGCUCGAAGU